UACAGAGGUCUCAAGCGUUGUUCGGAUUCAUUGGGCGUAAAGGGUGCGUAGGCGGCGCGGUAAGUCGGGUGUGAAAUCUCGGAGCUUAACUCCGAAACUGCAUUCGAUACUGCCGUGCUUGAGGACUGGAGAGGAGACUGGAAUUUACGGUGUAGCAGUGAAAUGCGUAGAUAUCGUAAGGAAGACCGGUGGCGAAGGCUAGUCUCUGGACAGUUACUGACACUGAGGCACGAAGGCCAGGGGAGCAAACGGG
RNAcentral lists this ribosomal RNA (253 nucleotides) under uncultured bacterium. RNAcentral's name for it is "partial 16S ribosomal RNA". It matches the Rfam family "Bacterial small subunit ribosomal RNA", at positions 524 to 776 of the family's 1533-position model. The record is from RNAcentral.